CUUCACAAAACACAGCCCUUUUUAAAGUGUUUCUAAAAUUCCCUAUGGGAAAUAUGAAUGGUGGGAAAACAAUUGGAACCAUUUCCUUGUUUGACCGCUAGGUUUUAUGGGUAUUAUGAUUCAUACUGUAGCACUCUCUAGACCUUUUUAACAGCUUUUUGGGGAGGAGAAGAAGUGCGGAAAUGGGUGGAACUUUGAAUGGAGCUUUGCAGCGAGAGAAGUGCUGUCUGUCAGAUUACAGUGCACCGGUCUGAAAGCUGAGGUAGACUUCCAUGUUUUGAAGGAAGAGGUGGCUGGUCUACUGACAACGGGUUGAUCUACGCAUGUGGUUUUUCCUGUGUGGCCACUGCUCAUGCUCUGAAAAUAUUGGCGCCCGGAGAAGACACGUUUCCUAGAUUUCCCAAAGAAGCAUUUCAGCGUGCUGCAUUGCCUGCAUGGAUAGUAAUGUUAGCAGCAGGAGGUGACAGCGCCAGGAUGUGUAUUAGGGUUGAAUGGCUGGAACCCGAUUACGGAGAUUUACCGGGAUAUACCACCCAAAACCACUCCCUUUUCCUGGGAUAAAUAACUGCGAAAACCCGGUAAAUAAUAAAAAAUAUUUAUAUGAACAGCAUUGCGUGAAAUGGAACAGUUAAAUAACAUGCAAUGUCUAAAUCUGGCUUCUCUAGAGCCUCUGCAUGAUGAAUCAACGCUCAGGGUGGGGACAGACAGCCCAUCUCAGUAUGGAGCGCAGUUCACAAUGCAUGUAGACCUAUCAUCUCAUCAUGGCUCUGUCUCUACAAUAUGCAAGCACCUGUGCUCCGCUGGUCUCUCCUUAACUCUUGGAAUCCCAGGCAGGAAAAGCUCAACUAGAAUAACAUGUAUACAACAUUAUUUUUGUAGCAUUUCCUACACCAAUAGACUAUUUGAAGAGGGACGCAAGCUCUUGUUUGCUGAAUGUUAAAUACAGCAGCCAAUAGAACUCACAGGUAGUUUGAAAGGUUAUGGGUCUGAAUAAAUAACUGCUAUCGCCUACCGUCAUCGCGUGUUUGCUCUUCUUUCAAUCUUUGUGAGGAGAAGUAAAAGCCUUCUGCAUCUAAUUCUAGUCCUAUAUUAUUCAAGGAUGUCAUUAGAAUGAUGAAGAUAAGGACAACAAAACUUUUUAAUUUAACCGUUGAACGCGAGGAAGGAAUGAAGCAACAAUAGAGAGAGAAAGAGGUAAACUAAUAACAUUAGGGGAAAUAUUAUGAAAGGUAUAUAUGUGUCAGCCUACUAAUUAUACAAAUAGGCCCUAUUAAAUUGAAAAAAUGUAAUGAAAUUCUCUAGCCUAUAGGCCUACUUGUAACUGUGUAGGCAGCAUGUGCUGCACCAGAAUUGCAUGUUCUCUUCUGCUUUGUCAUGGUUUGAAUGAUGUGCGUAAUUCCAGUCCAUAUAAUACAGUAUAAAACAGUACAGUACAGUAAUACAGUUCACACUCAAAUAUUAGCCUACUGGAGCUAGUCUAAUCUAUUUACCCAAUGUGUUGUAUUGUAACUAUUUUAUUAUAGUGCAAGUACAUUCAUGACGUCAUAUGAAAAGUGAUUGGGCAAGUUGGUCCGUGUGCAUCCG
RNAcentral lists this long non-coding RNA (1584 nucleotides) under Salmo salar (Atlantic salmon). RNAcentral describes it as "lncRNA (ENSSSAG00000089077.1)". Lineage: Eukaryota; Metazoa; Chordata; Actinopteri; Salmoniformes; Salmonidae. The record is from RNAcentral.